This 450-nucleotide ribosomal RNA is filed under the name uncultured bacterium. Its description in RNAcentral is "bacterial SSU rRNA". It matches the Rfam family "Bacterial small subunit ribosomal RNA", at positions 354 to 796 of the family's 1533-position model. The record is from RNAcentral.
GUGGGGAAUUUUGGACAAUGGGGGCAACCCUGAUCCAGCCAUGCCGCGUGUGUGAAGAAGGCCUUCGGGUUGUAAAGCACUUUCGGCCGGAACGAAAUCGCGCGGGCGAAUAUCCCGCGUGGAUGACGGUACCGGAAGAAGAAGCACCGGCUAACUACGUGCCAGCAGCCGCGGUAAUACGUAGGGUGCGAGCGUUAAUCGGAAUUACUGGGCGUAAAGUGUGCGCAGGCGGCUGAGCAAGUCGAGUGUGAAAGCCCCGGGCUUAACUUGGGAAUUGCGCUCGAAACUACUUGGCUGGAGUGUGGCAGAGGAAGGUGGAAUUCCACGUGUAGCGGUGAAAUGCGUAGAGAUGUGGAGGAACACCAAUGGCGAAGGCAGCCUUCUGGGCCAACACUGACGCUCAUGCACGAAAGCGUGGGGAGCAAACAGGAUUAGAAACCCCAGUAGUCC